Molecule: ribosomal RNA, 454 nt
Filed under: uncultured bacterium
Lineage: Bacteria
Description: bacterial SSU rRNA
Rfam family: Bacterial small subunit ribosomal RNA
Source: RNAcentral
CAAUACACUUUGAUGGCGAGCGGCGGACGGGUGAGUAAUGCAUGGGAAUCUGCCCAGUAGCGGGGGACAACCCGGAGAAAUCCGGGCUAAUACCGCAUACGCCCUACGGGGGAAAGCGGGGGACCGAAAGGCCUCGCACUAUUGGAGGAGCCCAUGUCCGAUUAGCUAGUUGGUGAGGUAACGGCUCACCAAGGCAACGAUCGGUAGCUGGUCUGAGAGGACGAUCAGCCACACCGGAACUGAGACACGGUCCGGACUCCUACGGGAGGCAGCAGUGGGGAAUAUUGCGCAAUGGGCGAAAGCCUGACGCAGCGACGCCGCGUGGGGGAUGACGCUUUUCGGAGUGUAAACCCCUUUCGAUCGGGACGAAUGCCUCGCAAGAGGAGUGACGGUACCGGUAGAAGAAGCCCCGGCUAACUACGUGCCAGCAGCCGCGGUAAUACGUAGGGGGCCA